GCCUGUAAGACUGGGAUAACUCCGGGAAACCGGGGCUAAUACCGGAUGCUUGAUUGAACCGCAUGGUUCAAUCAUAAAAGGUGGCUUUUAGCUACCACUUACAGAUGGACCCGCGGCGCAUUAGCUAGUUGGUGAGGUAACGGCUCACCAAGGCGACGAUGCGUAGCCGACCUGAGAGGGUGAUCGGCCACACUGGGACUGAGACACGGCCCAGACUCCUACGGGAGGCAGCAGUAGGGAAUCUUCCGCAAUGGACGAAAGUCUGACGGAGCAACGCCGCGUGAGUGAUGAAGGUUUUCGGAUCGUAAAACUCUGUUGUUAGGGAAGAACAAGUACCGUUCGAAUAGGGCGGCACCUUGACGGUACCUAACCAGAAAGCCACGGCUAACUACGUGCCAGCAGCCGCGGUAAUACGUAGGUGGCAAGCGUUGUCCGGAAUUAUUGGGCGUAAAGCGCGCGCAGGCGGUUUCUUAAGUCUGAUGUGAAAGCCCCCGGCUCAACCGGGGAGGGUCAUUGGAAACUGGGGAACUUGAGUGCAGAAGAGGAGAGUGGAAUUCCACGUGUAGCGGUGAAAUGCGUAGAGAUGUGGAGGAACACCAGUGGCGAAGGCGACUCUCUGGUCUGUAACUGACGCUGAGGCGCGAAAGCGUGGGGAGCGAACAGGAUUAGAUACCCUGGUAGUCCACGCCGUAAACGAUGAGUGCUAAGUGUUAGAGGGUUUCCGCCCUUUAGUGCUGCAGCAAACGCAUUAAGCACUCCGCCUGGGGAGUACGGUCGCAAGACUGAAACUCAAAGGAAUUGACGGGGGCCCGCACAAGCGGUGGAGCAUGUGGUUUAAUUCGAAGCAACGCGAAGAACCUUACCAGGUCUUGACAUCCUCUGACAACCCUAGAGAUAGGGCUUCCCCUUCGGGGGCAGAGUGACAGGUGGUGCAUGGUUGUCGUCAGCUCGUGUCGUGAGAUGUUGGGUUAAGUCCCGCAACGAGCGCAACCCUUGAUCUUAGUUGCCAGCAUUCAGUUGGGCACUCUAAGGUGACUGCCGGUGACAAACCGGAGGAAGGUGGGGAUGACGUCAAAUCAUCAUGCCCCUUAUGACCUGGGCUACACACGUGCUACAAUGGGCAGAACAAAGGGCAGCGAAGCCGCGAGGCUAAGCCAAUCCCACAAAUCUGUUCUCAGUUCGGAUCGCAGUCUGCAACUCGACUGCGUGAAGCUGGAAUCGCUAGUAAUCGCGGAUCAGCAUGCCGCGGUGAAUACGUUC
Molecule: ribosomal RNA, 1260 nt
Filed under: Bacillus licheniformis
Lineage: Bacteria; Bacillati; Bacillota; Bacilli; Caryophanales; Bacillaceae
Description: bacterial SSU rRNA
Rfam family: Bacterial small subunit ribosomal RNA
Source: RNAcentral